GACGAACGCUGGCGGCGUGCCUAACACAUGCAAGUCGAACGAGGUCCAAGGAAGCUUGCUUCCUGACGACCUAGUGGCGAACGGGUGAGUAACACGUGAGAAACCUGCCUCGGAGUGGGGAAUAACUCGGGGAAACUCGAGCUAAUACCGCAUAUCUUCACAUGAUCGCAUGGUCGAGUGAAGAAAGAAUUUCGCUCUGAGAGGGUCUCGCGGCCUAUCAGCUUGUUGGUGGGGUAACGGCCCACCAAGGCAACGACGGGUAGCUGGUUUGAGAGGACGGUCAGCCACACUGGGACUGAGACACGGCCCAGACUCCUACGGGAGGCAGAAGUGGGGAAUCUUGCGCAAUGGGCGAAAGCCUGACGCAGCAACGCCGCGUGCGGGAUGACGGCCUUCGUGGUUGUAAACCGCUUUCAGCAGGGACGAAAAUGACGGUACCUGCAGAAGAAGCCCCGGCUAACUACGUGCCAGCCGCCGCAGUAA
Molecule: ribosomal RNA, 483 nt
Filed under: uncultured bacterium
Lineage: Bacteria
Description: partial 16S ribosomal RNA
Rfam family: Bacterial small subunit ribosomal RNA
Source: RNAcentral